UACAGAGGGUGCAAGCGUUGUUCGGAAUUAUUGGGCGUAAAGGGCGCGUAGGCGGUGCGGUAAGUCUGUAGUGAAAUCUCUGGGCUCAACUCAGAGUCUGCUAUAGAAACUGCCGUGCUUGAGUGUGGGAGAGGUGAGUGGAAUUCCCGGUGUAGCGGUGAAAUGCGUAGAGAUCCGGAGGAACACCAGUGGUGAAGGCGGCUGACUGGACCUGACCUGACGCUGAGGCGCGAAGGCGUGGGGAGCGAACGGGG
Molecule: ribosomal RNA, 254 nt
Filed under: uncultured bacterium
Lineage: Bacteria
Description: partial 16S ribosomal RNA
Rfam family: Bacterial small subunit ribosomal RNA
Source: RNAcentral